GAUGAACGCUGGCGGCGUGCCUAAUACAUGCAAGUCGAGCGAACGGACGAGAAGCUUGCUUCUCUGAUGUUAGCGGCGGACGGGUGAGUAACACGUGUAUAACCUACCUAUAAUACUGGGAUAACUUCGGGAAACCGGAGCUAAUACCGGAUAAUAUUUUGAACCGCAUGGUUCAAAAGUGAAAGACGGUCUUGCGGUCACUUAUAGAUGGAUCUGCGCUUCAUUAGCUAGUUGGUAAGUUAACGGCUUACCAAGGCAACGAUGCAUAGACGACCUGAGAGGCGGAUAGCCCACCCUGGAGCUGAGACACGGUCCAGACUCCUACGGGAGGGAGCAGUAGGGAAUGUGACGCAAUGGGAGAAAGCCUGACGGAGCAACGGCGAGUGAGUGAUGAAGGUCUUCGGAUCGUAAAACUCUGUUAUUAGGGAAGAACAUAUGUGUAAGUAAAUGUGCACAUAUUGACGGUAACUAAUAAGAAAGCCACGGCUAACUACGUG
Molecule: ribosomal RNA, 497 nt
Filed under: uncultured bacterium
Lineage: Bacteria
Description: partial 16S ribosomal RNA
Rfam family: Bacterial small subunit ribosomal RNA
Source: RNAcentral